RNAcentral lists this ribosomal RNA (497 nucleotides) under uncultured bacterium. RNAcentral's name for it is "partial 16S ribosomal RNA". It matches the Rfam family "Bacterial small subunit ribosomal RNA", at positions 28 to 507 of the family's 1533-position model. The record is from RNAcentral.
GAUGAACGCUGGCGGCGUGCCUAAUACAUGCAAGUCGAGCGAACAGAUAAGGAGCUUGCUCCUUUGAAGUUAGCGGCGGACGGGUGAGUAACACGUGGGUAACCUACCUAUAAGACUGGGAUAACUUCGGGAAACCGGAGCUAAUACCGGAUAACAUUUAGAACCGCAUGGUUCUAAAGUGAAAGAUGGUUUUGCUAUCACUUAUAGAUGGACCCGCGCCGUAUUAGCUAGUUGGUAAGGUAACGGCUUACCAAGGCGACGAUACGUAGCCGACCUGAGAGGGUGAUCGGCCACACUGGAACUGAGACACGGUCCAGACUCCUACGGGAGGCAGCAGUAGGGAAUCUUCCGCAAGGGGCGAAAGCCUGACGGAGCAACGCCGCGUGAGUGAUGAAGGGUUUCGGCUCGUAAAACUCUGUUAUUAGGGAAGAACAAAUGUGUAAGUAACUGUGCACAUCUUGACGGUACCUAAUCAGAAAGCCACGGCUAACUACGUG